CAGCAGCCGCGGUAAUACGUAGGUGGCAAGCGUUGUCCGGAAUUAUUGGGCGUAAAGGGCUCGCAGGCGGUUUCUUAAGUCUGAUGUGAAAGCCCCCGGCUCAACCGGGGAGGGCCAUUGGAAACUGGGAAACUUGAGUGCAGAAGAGGAGAGUGGAAUUCCACGUGUAGCGGUGAAAUGCGUAGAGAUGUGGAGGAACACCAGUGGCGAAGGCGACUCUCUGGUCUGUAGCUGACGCUGAGGAGCAAAAGCGUGGGGAGCGAACAGGAUUAGAUACCCCUGUAGUCCCUGUCUCUUAUAC
This 301-nucleotide ribosomal RNA is filed under the name uncultured bacterium. RNAcentral's name for it is "partial 16S ribosomal RNA". It matches the Rfam family "Bacterial small subunit ribosomal RNA", at positions 509 to 807 of the family's 1533-position model. The record is from RNAcentral.